CUAACUCUCAAAACUUGAAAUUAGACAUCUUCUCUCUCAGCCUCAACCUAGAACACAUCGAUCUCACCAUCCACGAACUCUGUCGGCCAGCUCCGACAAAGGACGACAACUGCCGGUGAAUGACGACCAGUUUCGGCUAACAUACGACAAUCUCUGAGGAUCAUUAUCUAUUGGUGAAUUUUAGCCAAAGCACUUGAGACUUUAGAUAGUGAAAACGAAUCAUGUGCAAUUAUGUUGAUUCUGCUUCCAUGCAUUCAACAAAAAGAAGGUUGUGAAGAGAGAUUGCUGCUCUGCAUGAGGUAGAGUUUCAACGAGGAAUUAAGAAUCGGUAGGGAGCAUAAUGCUUUUAUCUUCUAGUUUUUUUGGUUUAUUUUAUUAUUAUCAAAGCAAGAGAUGUGGAUUACAUUCUUGCUUGUACUAAAACAAAGAGGUUAUGAAUGUUAAUUGUCUAGUGAUUUAGGAGGAUCUAUUUCUUCAUAUGGUGUACCGUUUAAAUAUUUUUUUUAGAAAAUGACCUACACUGAUGAUGUCGGGAAGAAGAUAUUUGCUAUCUAAUAUCUUCAAGGUUACUUGGUAUACAGAGGAUUCAAUUAAAUUCUAGCA
Long non-coding RNA from Nicotiana tabacum (common tobacco), 603 nucleotides. RefSeq lists it as uncharacterized. Lineage: Eukaryota; Viridiplantae; Streptophyta; Magnoliopsida; Solanales; Solanaceae. The record is from RefSeq and is a predicted model, not a curated record.